UGUAAACUAAUUUUUUUGAUGCAGUGCCUAUCUCGGAACGAUUCAGCCCAGAAUCCGACGAUCACUCCGGCGACAGACAAAGUGCCUAUCUCGGAACGAUUCAGCCCAGAAUCCGACGAUCACUCCGGCGACAGACAAAGGGUAACGCCGGCAUGAAGGAACAGAGAGUGACGGUGCAGUGGCUGUCGGGGCCGCGGCGGCAAUAACUAGGAUGGGGCGUGAAACCGAGAGAGAUAUGACACAAUGGCGAGAAGAAGAAAAGUAGACGAAGGAGAAAAAAAAGCAGCGGAAACGGUAGGCGGUUGACCGAGAGAAUUGCCGGAGGUGGCGGCUGGCCGAGGUUGGUGAGAUAGGUGAAGCAAGCAAGUGUGAGGUACGGCGGAUGAACCGGCGAUGCAGGGCGGAAGGAGCGGUGAUAGUAGCAGAUUUAAUUGGGAAAAGAAAGAGAAAUUGGAAAGAGAGGGGGGCGGCUCUUGUGUGUGAAGAAGUAUUAGGGUUAGAUUAAAUAUUAAUUUAUGUAGUAAAAUUGGGAUUUAUUUCAUGUAUAUUCUAUAAUAAAUAAUAAUAGUGAUAGUAAUAAUUUUGUA
Long non-coding RNA from Salvia hispanica, 587 nucleotides. RefSeq lists it as uncharacterized. The record is from RefSeq and is a predicted model, not a curated record. NCBI's taxonomy places the organism in Eukaryota, Viridiplantae, Streptophyta, Magnoliopsida, Lamiales, Lamiaceae.